GAGCUGAUGAAGUGAUGAGUUCUCAUGUCUCUUCUCUGACUUGCACUUGGAGAGAAUAAUUAUUUUCUCUGAUCACAGCUU
Gadus chalcogrammus (walleye pollock) is the source of this 81-nucleotide small nucleolar RNA. RefSeq annotates it as small nucleolar RNA SNORD111. The record is from RefSeq and is a predicted model, not a curated record. The transcript has a single exon. NCBI's taxonomy places the organism in Eukaryota, Metazoa, Chordata, Actinopteri, Gadiformes, Gadidae.